UUUAUGUUUAGAAAUUUUUGAAAUUGAUAUAUUAACUAUCCUAUCUUUAAGUUGGUUGAAACUGUGCUAAAUUUUACUAAAAUCGGUUCCGUAGUAUAGGAGUUUAAUCAGGGCGCGUAAUUUAUAUAUACCUAUAUAGAUAAAUUCCCGUUUUAUUUGGAAUUUAUUGUCAAUACUAUUAUCAGCUACUUGUAAUGCACGAAUCAAUUAUGUGAAAUAAUAUUUUAUGAGGUACAGCGAUGACAGAUUUGCAGAAAAAGUUCAGUGUUUGCUUUCGCUUUUAACCAAUGGAAUGGGGAGCUAAAUGAAGUCCUAUUGCGGUGACUGCCUUACAUAAUUUUGGAAAAAUCACACGUGAAAUUUAUGAGCUUCCCAAAAAACUUUGUAUUUCAAUGUUUGUUUACCGCACUAUUUUUCCCAAACGUCUACCGUUAAUGACAGAAAGAGAAGUGUUCGUUCUCGUUUCGUUGGAAAUGGGUAUAUCGUCAAGACUUAUUUGAGAUGAUAUCCACAUCAAAGCUUACCGUCGGUCAACUGGUCGUCUUCUGUCAUCACGCUUGAAUCAAAUUAGGUUUAACAGAUACAAGCGGCUUCUUCAGUCACAAGCAGUCAACGGCCAUAAAAGUAUCCUCUUUAUAGAUGAAAAAUGUUUCUGUGUUGAAGAAGUUUCUAAUAAGCGAAACAACAUAAUCCACACAAACGCUGUUAUUUCAAGAGUUCAACAUGGUCACCAUCGAGCUGUCACCAAUAGUUUGCGGGAAAGUCUCCAGUAAAGGCGUUACACCUGUUCACUUCUGUGAAAAAGGGAUUGAAAGUGGGGCAACAGUGUAGCAGUAAGAUGUUUUAGAAGGAGCUUGAACCUGUAACAGAACUUAUGGCAGAACUAAGGUCUCCGACGCUUCCUUCUGACUGUUACAAACUUUGUGGCAAACUUAAUAUACCCCUUUCAGGGUAUAAAAAUAGAAAGCAGUUGGUUUGAUUUUCAGGAUAACUGAAAAACUUUGUUGGAUUUCGAAAUUAGAUGGAUUGGAAUGAAAAGGUAGCUGAGAAAUUCGAACGAACUUAAAACAACAUCAACAUUCCAGCGAGGAAAUACACUACAGGGUCUGAUCCACAGACAGCAAUUUGAUUUGGGAAUUUCAUUUGAGAAUGGUAAGGUUCAUUCCACCCACCCACAGGGCACAUAUGCAAUUUGGCUACAACGAUUACAAUAUGCAGUGCUAUAUAAUUCUAAAAUUGAAAAUGCCAGUAGCUAUCUGCGUUCGAAUUAUCCAUAUACUCUUAAUGUAGUCCUCCCUCAAAUGGAUGCUCUGACGUUGCCACUGAGAAACCGGGCAAUACACUGGCAAAUUAAGAAGGAACGAAUUGGAAGAUCGUACGGACGGCAACAAUCCCUUGCCAAUUGAAGCGCCACUGCCAUUUACAGCUUUCGAAAUGCGACGCACCGCCUUCUGGGCAUGUGUGCGAAAUGUGAAUUUUCUUCGCUGUGAUUGCCGAGCCAAACUGCAUUUGAAGUAAGGGUUGCAGCCGUGCAGGGUAUGGAUUGUGGGUGGUUGCCACAACGACGUUGCAACGGAGCUCUACAAAGGUGUACUCAAUGCAAAUUGCUAUUCUACAGACACCAGAAGUCCAACAAUACUGGAGCCAACAUUCAUUGAUUAUUCAAUUGUAGUUGUUGGCGUUAUUGUGUGAGAGCAUUUGCAGUUGUUGUAAUUUUUAUGCCCUUCUAUGGCUAUGCCUAUGCAUUUGCUCCAGCUCCAAUGCAGACACAUGCAUAUGAUGAAGAUGAUGCAGUCAACUGAUGCUUUAGCUGGCUUAAUAUUUAUUUUACUAUAGAAGCACUAGUCGUAGCUUAGUAAGCUUGUACUAAAUAAUUUUUUGGCAGCUUAUUACUUUAGCAUUAAGUUUAUAUUGCUUGUAGUUGUAAAUUGUUAUACUUAAAUAUUUUGAAAAUUGGUAGAUGCGCUUCCAUUAAAUUAUCGAAAUAAAUGAUUUGAAACAAGAACUUUUUGCUUUUAGUUUAUCGCAUUUUGCACAGGUUUCUGGAAAAAUCAUUUGGGACUAUAUCGAUUCGAGAAGAACGAACGUAGGUAAAAAUAAAGCUCUGAACCGCCCAUGUGCUGCUGAUGCCACUUGCUACUCCUUGGUUUCUAGGUAUGCAACUUAUGUCAUCAGCUAAAUUUUUCAUCAAGUUGCAGAAAAUAUAAGCACGGCACAAGUUUUAAAUGCAAAAAGAGGAGUAAAUGUCAACAAAAACAACUACAAUAAUGCAAAUUAGAAUUUGUCUAGUAAACUGCAUAUAAAAUUUAUAUCAUGAAUCCGAGAGGACACAACGUGCUGGCAUAUGUAAGGAAGUAUUUAUGUAUGUGGGUACGUAUGCAUGUACAUAAUCAACUGGGCAUAAGUAUUUUGGAUGCAUUCAUACUUGUAAAUAUGUACAAAACAUAUUUGUACUUUGGAGUACAGUCGGAUGUGACCACAAAGUGUAAGGAGAGGGGACGAAUCGGCGUGCACAUAAAAUUAGGACAUUUUUCGGCAAUACAAAUGCAUAAAAUAUUUGGUUUUAUAUAAUGUAGUAGUUUUAAAAAAUAAGUAUAACCAACUUAGUUAUGUAUACAACGUACUCCAAAUAUUAGGAAUUUAAAAAAAGCGUUAUUUUCAUACUAAAGCGAUUAUCUAAAGAAAAUAUAAUUAUUUUAAGAGUUUGUGAAGUAUAAAUAAUAUU
Long non-coding RNA from Bactrocera oleae (olive fruit fly), 2725 nucleotides. RefSeq lists it as uncharacterized. NCBI's taxonomy places the organism in Eukaryota, Metazoa, Arthropoda, Insecta, Diptera, Tephritidae. The record is from RefSeq and is a predicted model, not a curated record.